Molecule: ribosomal RNA, 558 nt
Filed under: uncultured bacterium
Lineage: Bacteria
Description: bacterial SSU rRNA
Rfam family: Bacterial small subunit ribosomal RNA
Source: RNAcentral
CGGGUGAGUAACACGUGGGUAAUUUACCUCCUAGUGGGGAAUAACCCUGGGAAACCGGGGCUAAUACCGCAUACGUCCGAGAGGAGAAAGCCGAAAGGCGCAGGGAGAGAAGCCCGCGGCCGAUUAGCUAGUUGGUAGGGUAAUGGCCUACCAAGGCGACGAUCGGUAGCCGGCCUGAGAGGGCACACGGCCACACUGGCACUGAAACACGGGCCAGACUCCUACGGGAGGCAGCAGUGGGGAAUCUUGCACAAUGGGGGAAACCCUGAUGCAGCGACGCCGCGUGAACGAUGAAGCCCUUCGGGGUGUAAAGUUCUUUCGACGGGGACGAUAAUGACGGUACCCGGAGAAGAAGCUGCGGCUAACUACGUGCCAGCAGCCGCGGUAAUACGUAGGCAGCAAGCGUUGUUCGGAAUUACUGGGCGUAAAGAGUGCGUAGGCGGUUGGCUAAGUUUGGUGUGAAAUCUCCCGGCUCAACUGGGAGGGUGCGCCGAAAACUGGUCGGCUAGAGUGUGGGAGAGGUAAGUGGAAUUCCUGGUGUAGCGGUGAAAUGCGUAG